UACGUAGGGUGCAAGCGUUGUCCGGAAUUAUUGGGCGUAAAGAGCUUGUAGGCGGUUUGUCGCGUCUGCUGUGAAAUCUCAAGGCUCAACCUUGAGCUUGCAGUGGGUACGGGCAGACUAGAGUGUGGUAGGGGAGACUGGAAUUCCUGGUGUAGCGGUGAAAUGCGCAGAUAUCAGGAGGAACACCUAUUGCGAAGGCAGCUCGCUGGGACGUAACUGACGCUGAGACGCGAAAGCGUGGGGAGCAAACAGG
This 253-nucleotide ribosomal RNA is filed under the name uncultured bacterium. RNAcentral describes it as "partial 16S ribosomal RNA". It matches the Rfam family "Bacterial small subunit ribosomal RNA", at positions 524 to 776 of the family's 1533-position model. The record is from RNAcentral.